Molecule: long non-coding RNA, 5523 nt
Filed under: Triticum aestivum (bread wheat)
Lineage: Eukaryota; Viridiplantae; Streptophyta; Magnoliopsida; Poales; Poaceae
Description: long non-coding RNA (TAES_LNC018051)
Source: RNAcentral
AAUUAUCAGGUACUUUCGUUUCUUGGUAAUGAUUCUAAUGUUCAUGAGAAUAUGAUGCUGCCUAAAUUGGAUACUUUUGUUUUGCUUACAAAUGAAGGGCCUGGAUUGGAGAAGGAUGAACAUUGGAGCAAGAACAAGCAUGGAGUUGAUGGCAUGCGCAAGGGGAACAAGAACGGAGUUACCAGUGAUGAUUUCAGGACUUUGAAGCCACCAUAAGGAGUGAAUGAAGCCUUGGACGAAAUAUACAAGAUGCCACUUCAUAAAUUUUAUCCAGAGGCUAUUCUAGGUGCUGCGUCACCUUAUUAUUGGGCCUGGCCCAUGUAAUUUCGAAAUACAUAAGUAUAGGCUGUUUUUAGAGUCCGUAUGUGUGGGGAAACAAGAGAUAGGGUUGGUUUCGGACCCCUUCUCCAAGGGCCACGAAAUUCCCCCCUCUUCCUCCAUAUAUACAGCCCUUAGGACACCAUUUAGACUUUGGGUUUUGUUUAGAUUAAAAGUUCGCCAUAGCUGCAACUUCGCGUACUUCGUUUGUGUUCAACGACCAGACAAAGGCGUCACAGAACCCCACCUUGAUCAAUAAAGCUUUCAUCUUAUAUUCGCAAUAUCCAGAUUGCAAUCUCAGUUUCUUGCUUGUUCUUCGAUUGCUCGCAGGAAACAGACCCUCCUGGUCAGGUUGAUCGUGCUCCGGCGUGGUCAAUAACCUCUCGGAGUUGGUUUAGCGAUUGCUAAGGCGCGACGUCCUCGCACGUUCGUAGUCGGAUCGUCAAAGUCGACUUCCAUCAAAGCGAUAUCCAUCAUCUCAUCGAAAGACGGGACACCUUUGCCUCUAUCGCAUAUCAUAUCUCGCAUAUCAUACAUGUUUUGCAUCAUGUUGCUUGUGCAUUUCUCGUGAUUGAUUGUGGUUUCGUUGCUUGUGUUCUUGUCUUGGGAAGAGCCGGGAGACGAGUUCAUGAACGAGGAACCUGUUGAGUACGCUUACGAGGAUCAAGCUUUCGACAACUCUGAGAACCUUGCAGGCAAGAUGACCAUACACUCGAAAUCACUUCUAUCUUUGCUUUGCUAGUUGUUCGCUUUAUUGCCAUGCUGCUCUACCUACCACUUGCCAUAUCAUGCCUCCCAUAUUGCCAUGUCAGCCUCUAACCAUCCUUUCCUAGCAAACCGUUGUUUGGCUAAGUUACCGCUUUUGCUCAGCCCUUCUUAUAGCGUUGCUAGUUGCAGGUGAAGUUGAAGUUGGUUUCAUGUUGGAACAUGGAUAUUUUGAUAUCACAAUAUCUCUUAUUAUAUUAAUGCAUCUAUAUAUUUGGUAAAGGGUGGAAGGCUCGGCCUUAUGCCUGGUGUUUUGUUCCACUCUUGCCGCCCUAGUUUCUGUCAUACCGGUAUUAUGUUCCUUGAGUUUGCGUUCCUUACGUGGUUGGGUGAUUUAUGGGACCCCUUGACAGUUCGCCUUGAAUAAAACUCCCCCAGCAAGGCCCAACCUUGGUUUUACCAUUUGCCACCUAAGCCUUUUCCCCCGGGUUUUCGCGAGCCCGAGGGUCAUCUUUAUUUUAACCCCCCCGGGCCAGUGCUCCUUCGAGUGUUGGUCCGAACUGAGUAGACUGCGGGGCCCUCUCGUGGAAACUCGAGGUCUGGUUUUACUCGUAGGAUAUUUCAUCCGGUGUUGCCCUGAGAACGAGAUAUGUGCAGCUCCUAUCGGGAUUUGUCGGCACAUCGGGCGACUUUGCUGGUCUUGUUUUACCAUUGUCGAAAUGUCUUGUAAACCGGGAUUCCGAGAUUGAUCGGGUCUUUCUGGGAGAAGGUUUAUCCUUCGUUGAACGUGAGAGCUUAUGAUGGGCUAAGUUGGGACACCCCUGCAGGGUAUUAUCUUUCGAAAGCCAUGCCCGCGGUUAUGAGGCAGAUGGGAAUUUGUUAAUGUCCAGUUGUAGAGAACUUGUCACUUGACUUAAUUAAAGUACAUCAACCGUGUGUGUAGCCGUGAUGGUCUCUUCUCGGCGGAGUCCGGGAAGUGAACACGGUUUGAGUUAUGCAUGAACGUAAGUAGGAGUUCAGGAUCACUUCUUGGUCAUUGCUAGAUGACGACCGUUCUGUUGCUUCUCUUCUCGCUCUCAUUUGCGUAUGUUAGCCACCAUAUAUGCUUAGUGCCUGCUGCAGCUCCACCUCAUUACACCAUUCUUUUCCUAUAAGCUUAAAUAGACUUGAUCUCGCGGGUGUGAGAUUGCUGAGUCCUCGUGACUCACAGAUUCUACCAAAACAGUUGCAGGUGCCGACGAUGCCAGUGCAGUUGAUGAGAUUGACCUCAAGUGGGAGUUCGAUGAGGAACGUGGUCGUUACUAUGUGUCUUUUCCUGAUGAUCAGUAGUGGAGCCCAGUUGGGACGAUCGGGGAUCUAGCAUUUGGGGUUAUCUUAUAUUCAUUUGGAUCUUGACCGUAGUCGGUCUUUGUGUGUAUUUUGGAUGAUGUAUGAAUUAUAUUUAUGUAUUGUGUGAAGUGGCGAUUGUAAGCCAACUCUUUAUCCCAUUCUUGUUCAUUACAUGGGAUUGUGUGAAGAUGACCCUUCUUGUGACAAAACCACAAUGCGGUUAUGCCUCUAAGUCGUGCCUCGACACGUGGGAGAUAUAGCCGCAUCGUGGGCGUUACAUACGUCGCGUAUGUGUGUUGAUUGUAGAUGCAUUAAUAAUAUUACUAUUCGUUAUCGUCAUCCUAUUCCUAGGCUAGAUGAUAUGCUUGAUGAAUUGAGUGGCUCUACAAUAUUCUCCAAAGUUGAUUUGCGUAGUAGAUACCAUCAAAUUCGUAUGAAAUUGGGAGAUGAAUGGAAAACUGCAUUUAAAACUAAGUUUGGUUUAUAUGAGUGGUUAGUCAUGCCUUUUGGGUUAACUAAUGCACCUAGUACUUGCAUGAGACUAAUGAACGAAGUUUUACGUGCUUUCAUUGGACGAUUUGUGGUAGUCUAUUUUGAUGAUAUACUGAUUUAUAGCAAAUCUUUGGAAGAACAUUUGGAACAUUUACGUGCUGUUUUUAUUGCUCUAUGUGAUGCACGUUUGUUUGGUAACCUUGGGAAGUGCACCUUUUGCACCGACCGAGUAUCUUUUCUUGGCUAUGUUGUUACUCCACAGGGAAUUGAAGUUGAUAAAGUCAAGAUUGAAGCUAUUGAGAGUUGGCCGCAGCCCAAAACGGUCACACAAGUGCGGAGUUUUCUUGGACUCGCUGGUUUCUAUAGGCGUUUUGUGAGAGAUUUUAGCACCAUUGCUGCACCUCUCAACGAGCUUACAAAGAAGGAUGUGCCUUUUGUUUGGGGUACCGCACAGGAAGAAGCCUUCACGGUAUUGAAAGAUAAGUUGACACAUGCUCCUUUACUCCAACUUCCUGAUUUUAAUAAGACUUUUGAGCUUGAAUGUGAUGCUAGUGGAAUUGGAUUAGGAGGUGUGUUAUUACAAGAUGGCAAACCUGUUGCAUACUUUUCUGAAAAAUUGAGUGGGCCUAGUCUGAAUUAUUCUACUUAUGAUAAAGAACUAUAUGCUCUUGUUCGGACUUUAGAAACAUGGCAACAUUAUUUAUGGCCCAAAGAAUUUGUUAUCCAUUCUGAUCAUGAAUCUUUGAAACAUAUUAAAAGUCAAGCUAAACUGAAUCGUAGACAUGCUAAAUGGGUUGAAUUCAUUGAAACUUUACCUUAUGUCAUUAAACACAAGAAGGGUAAAGAAAAUGUUAUAGCUGAUGCAUUGUCUCGUCGCUAUACUAUGCUUUCACAACUUGACUUCAAAAUAUUUGGUUUGGAGACCAUCAAAGAUCAAUAUGUGCAUGAUGCUGAUUUUAAAGAUGUAUUGCAGAAUUGUAAAGAAGGAAGAACCUGGAACAAGUUUGUCGUUAAUGAUGGAUUUGUGUUCCGUGCUAACAAGCUAUGCAUUCCAGCUAGCUCUCUUCGUCUUUUGUUGUUGCAGGAGGCGCAUGGAGGAGGAUGAAUGGGACACUUUGGCGUGAAGAAGACGGAGGACAUACUUGCUACACAUUUCUUUUAGCCAAAGAUGAGACGGGAUGUUGAGCGUUUUGUUGCUCGCUGCACUACAUGUCAAAAAGCUAAGUCAGGACUCAAUCCUCAUGGUUUAUAUAUGCCUUUGCCUGUACCUAGUGUUCCUUGGGAGGAUAUAUCUAUGGACUUUGUUUUAGGUUUACCUCGAACAAAGAAGGAGAGGGAUAACAUAUUUGUUGUCGUGGAUAGAUUCUCGAAAAUGGCACACUUUAUACCAUGUCAUAAAGUGAUGAUGCUGUUAAUGUUGCUGAUUUGUUCUUUCGUGAAAUUAUUCGCUUGCAUGGUGUGCCAAAUACUAUUGUUUCAGAUCGUGAUACUAAAUUUCUUAGCCACUUUUGGAGAUGUUUAUGGGCUAAGUUGGGGACUAAACUGCUUUUUAGUACUACUUGUCACCCCCAAACUGAUGGACAAACUGAAGUAGUCAAUAGAACAUUGUCUACUAUGCUUAAGGCUGUUUUGAAGAAUAAUAAGAAAAUGUGGGAAGAAUGCUUGCCUCAUAUUGAAUUUGCUUAUAAUCGUUCAUUGCAUUCUACUACUAAGGUGUGCCCUUUUGAAACUGUGUAUGGUUUCCUACCUCGUGCACCAAUUGAUUUGUUGCCUCUUCCAUCUUCGGAGAAGGUUAAUUUUGAUGCUAAAGAACGUGCUGAAUUGAUUUUAAAAAUGCAUGAGUUAACUAAGGACAACAUUGAGCGUAUGAAUGCUAAAUAUAAACUUGCUGGAGAUAAGGGUGGAAAACAUGUUGUGUUUGCACCUGGAGAUCUUGUUUGGUUACAUUUGCGUAAGGAUAGAUUUCCUAAUUUGCGCAAAUCAAAGCUAAUGCCACGUGCUGAUGGUCCUUUUAAGGUGUUAGAGAAAAUAAAUGAUAAUGCAUAUAAACUUGAGCUACCUGCAUAUUUUGGGGUUAGUCCCACUUUUAACAUUGCAGAUUUGAAGCCUUAUUUGGGUGAGGAAGAUGAGCUUCCGUCGAGGACGACUUCAUUUCAAGAAGGGGAGGAUGAUGAGGACAUCAAUACCAUUGUUACACCCACAACCCCUACUGUUACAUAUAAUGGACCAAUUACUAGAGCUCGCGCACGCCAAUUAAAUUACCAGGUACUUUCGUUUCUUGGUAAUGAUUCUAAUGUUCAUGAGAAUAUGAUGAUGCCUAAAUUGGAUACUUUUGUUUUGCUUACAAAUGAAGGGCCUGGAUUGGAGAAGGAUGACCAUUGGAGCAAGAACAAGCAUGGAGUUGAUGGCAUGCGCAAGGGGAACAAGAACGGAAUUACCAGUGAUGAUUUCAGGACUUUGAAGCCACCAUAAGGAGUGAAUGAAGCCUUGGACGAAAUAUACAAGAUGCCACUUCAUAAAUUUCGUCCAGAGGCUAUUCUAGGUGAUGCGUCACCUUAUUAUUGGGCCUGGCCCAUGUAAUUUCGAAAUACAUAAGUAUAGGCUGUUUUUAGAGUCCGUAUGUGUGGGGAAACAAGAGAUAGGGUUGGUUUCGGACCCCUUCUCCAAGGGCCACGAAAU